GGCGGGACCGCGCGCGCCGCUCCGCCCACUCCUCCCGCCCGAGCCCUCCUCCCAGCAGCUGGGGGCGGGGCGAGACCCGCCCGCCCCUGUCGUGCAAGGCCCCUUUCGGCUGUCAGUCUGGCAGCGGCGCGCGCCGAUUGGGCCGCUGGCCACCGGGGAGCGGGGGCAGCAAACUAGGAUGAGCACUACUUAAGGUCUAGCUGCGUGAGCCAUUGACGUGUUUGGAGCUGGAGACGGCCCGAGCGCUGGUGAAGCGGUAACCCGAGGUGAGUGGUCCCGCGCCCCUCCCUCCGCGGUGGCUGCAGUGAAGGGGAAAGAGAAGGCCGCACCUAGGUCGCAUCGGGGCCGAAUCCACUUCCGCGCGAAGCCGCUUCUACCAGGGUUCGCCGCAUCGCGGGUCCCUUUCCGUCGCUUUCCCUCUCGGCGAUACAGUUUCCUUCGUUUUCCUCGCUCCCAGCCCCACUUGGCACUGUCUGAGGUCGAAGCAAGGUGUGUUCACCUGUGCCCGCUAUCCACUAUUGGACAGACAGGAAGCAUCGCGGAAGUGAGCGAGGCCUCGGGCUUGUAUCUCUCCGAUUUCUUCAGUCGAUUUCCUUGCCUCCCUCCGGUUGGUCUCUUUUAGCCUGGACAACCUGAUGUUUACCACAACAAAAGAAACUGAACUACCUGACUCUUGACUGAGAAUACCUCCACUUUUCAGGAGCUUGUAAGGUUUGAUUAUUUUUCUUGAAUGUACUUCAUUUCUUUUAACACAACUUAUGGUUUUUGAUGGUCCCGUCUUGGGCAAGGAAAGGAGAAACCAUUUCAUACAAAAAUUCUGACCUCUGUGUGGUUUUACAGACGUAGUUUUUAUUCUGUGGCGUUUUGUAGGUCAUAGUACAUUAUUUGCUGGCUUCUCCUUCAAUCUUUAGGUGGAAGAUGAUUAAGCUAGACCAGGAUUUGGGAAUAUAAGUUAAAUCAGCUCCUUAAACUUAGUGCAGAGCAUUUAAAAAUAUUUGUGGCUGGCUUAUCCAUGGUAUACCAAUAUAUUGAAACCAAAAAAGAAAAAAAUCACUGAAAUAUUUAAGUUAGUUAAUUAUUGGUUUUUAAAUGUUUUUUAGUUUCUUUCUAUAACAUUUCUUUGAAGAUAAUAGGCAUACCAGUUUCAGUUGAACUCCAUUAUAGAGAGCAAUUGUCCUGGGAUAUAGUUGACAUACCUUUUAUAUGAAUAUAUGACUCGACAUGGAAUCACAAAAUGGCUUUUAGGAGACUGUGAUCAUCUUUAAUUGAUAAAGAUUUCUGCAGGCUGUAUCUGUAAGCUUGAGUUGAAAGAUUAAUGAAUCACACACAGUAGCAUUCCCUGAUUCCUUCAACCCAGGGAAGUAUCAAAUAGAUAGAAGAUGCCACUGGAAGUAAAGUUUCAACUCUUUUUUUUUUUAAAACUUUCCGAAAUGUCAACUAAGCGGUAACUUUCUGUUUUGGUAUGUUGGCCACGCCAGUGCUCUUUAGUUAACAAAUGUUUUUGCUAAAGAUGAGUUGAACUACAUUAUUCAACACUGUUUUGUAUAAUCAAUAUGUAAUAAGGAAAUAAUCGUUAGAGUGCAUGCUUAGGUUUUGUUAGUAUAUUUAAUUGUUUAAUCUUGAGAAAUAAGAAGAAAACUGAAUUAUAGCUGAACUAUCUAUCUUUCUUUUUGUACAUUAUAAUCAAAUUUCAGUAGAUGUGUUUAAAUAUGGCCUUUGUGCUGAGAAAUAUGAAAACUGAAUUAUAGCUGAACUAUCUUUCUUUCUGGACAUUAUAAUCAAAUUUCGGUAGAUGUAUUUAAAUAUGGCCUUUGUGCUGAGGCACCAGGGCAAUCAGUGCAAAGGAAAAACACAUCAAAGUCUUUAUUCUAUACAGAGGAUACACAAAAUUCCUCACUACAUAAUCAUUAUGCCCAAAUUAAUUUUCAAGUGAUUAUGGGGCUAAUGAGAUUUACUGAUUCAUUUUCUGUCAUCCACUGUAUAACUCUUU
Molecule: long non-coding RNA, 1990 nt
Organism: Rhinolophus ferrumequinum (greater horseshoe bat)
Lineage: Eukaryota; Metazoa; Chordata; Mammalia; Chiroptera; Rhinolophidae
Source: Ensembl